Molecule: transfer RNA, 63 nt
Filed under: Dipodomys ordii (Ord's kangaroo rat)
Lineage: Eukaryota; Metazoa; Chordata; Mammalia; Rodentia; Heteromyidae
Rfam family: tRNA
About the family: Transfer RNA (tRNA) molecules are approximately 80 nucleotides in length. Their secondary structure includes four short double-helical elements and three loops (D, anti-codon, and T loops).
Source: Rfam by way of RNAcentral
GGGAAGUUGGCUCAGUGGUAGAGUGCUUGCCUCAUAUGCAAGAGGCCCUGGGUUCAAUUCCUC